UUAGCAGUAACUCUUGACAAGGUGAGGUACGUGAUGAGAUCCGUAUUUGGUGACCCAAAGAAAGCUCCACCUCCAUUAGAGAGGCUAAGUCCUGAGGAAACUGUCUCCUUCCUCUGGAAAGGAGAAGAAUCACUUGUUGAGGAGCUUCUUCAGUGCAUGUCUCCUCAUGUGGACACUGAUCUGCUUAAUGAUCUCAAGUCCAAGAUCCGUGCACAUGAUCCGUUGGAAUCUGAUAACGUUCAGAGAGAACUUGAGAAAUCAUUAUUAUGGUUGAGGGAUGAAAUCCGGAGCCUUCCAUGUACAUACAAGUGCCGGC
RNAcentral lists this unclassified non-coding RNA (316 nucleotides) under Hevea brasiliensis (rubber tree). The record is from RNAcentral. Lineage: Eukaryota; Viridiplantae; Streptophyta; Magnoliopsida; Malpighiales; Euphorbiaceae.